GUUUCUUGCUUUAGGAAGCGGAAGACUAAUGACCGAAGCUUCAAGACUUUGACAUGUGUGAAAACAUGAAAUGACCCUUGGCUCUUAUUGUUCUUGCUGGUGUGGUAUGUUCACGGCUGAAAAGAUGGUCAGAAGGGGAAAGGAGGAAGUGAGAAGAAAGAAACAGGGAAAUGACCCUGCAUGUGAUGGAUCAGCUGACACCAUCCAGAUCGGUAAACUGGUUCAUCUGAUCUUGUGCCCUCCACCCAGGAACUGACUCAGCGCAAGAAGACAGCUUCGACUCCUUGUGAUUUCAUCCCUAACCAAUCAGCACUCCUGGCUCACUGGCUUCCCCCAACCCACCAAAUUGUCCUUAAAAACUCUGCUCUCCAAACGCUGGGGGAGACUGAUUUGAGUAAUAAUAAAACCCUGGUCUCCUGCACA
Molecule: long non-coding RNA, 423 nt
Organism: Homo sapiens (human)
Lineage: Eukaryota; Metazoa; Chordata; Mammalia; Primates; Hominidae
Gene: PCED1B-AS1
Product: PCED1B antisense RNA 1
Source: Ensembl